RNAcentral lists this ribosomal RNA (423 nucleotides) under uncultured Gemmiger sp. RNAcentral's name for it is "bacterial SSU rRNA". It matches the Rfam family "Bacterial small subunit ribosomal RNA", at positions 355 to 794 of the family's 1533-position model. Lineage: Bacteria; Bacillati; Bacillota; Clostridia; Eubacteriales; Oscillospiraceae. The record is from RNAcentral.
UGGGGAAUAUUGCACAAUGGGGGGAACCCGUGAUGCAGCGACGCCGCGUGGAGGAAGAAGGUCUUCGGAUUGUAAACUCCUGUUGUUAGGGACGAUAAUGACGGUACCUAACAAGGAAGCACCGGCUAACUACGUGCCAGCAGCCGCGGUAAAACGUAGGGUGCAAGCGUUGUCCGGAAUUACUGGGUGUAAAGGGAGCGCAGGCGGGCAUGCAAGUUGGAAGUGAAAACUAUGGGCUCAACCCAUAGCCUGCUUUCAAAACUGCGUGUCUUGAGUAGUGCAGAGGUAGGCGGAAUUCCCGGUGUAGCGGUGGAAUGCGUAGAUAUCGGGAGGAACACCAGUGGCGAAGGCGGCCUACUGGGCACCAACUGACGCUGAGGCUCGAAAGCAUGGGUAGCAAACAGGAUUAGAUACCCUGGUAGU